UACGAGGUUUUCGAAUCGGAAGACAGGUGUCGGAGAAGAGUCGGAUGAGAGUACGGGAUCGCCUGACCGAAACCCUCGCGAUUGAGAUCGAGCGAAGCGGAGGCGCAGGCGGGAGAGAUGCCGAAUAGGGAGCUAUUUGCCCGACCCAACGUCUCGUCGUCGGCGUCCGCCGAAGGGAACCGCAUGGCCUUCCUCAACUGGUCCGGUGGAGCUUUCUUCGAUCAGCACCUCGACGCCGAGUUGUGACACUUUGGGGAUGAUUGACUGUUGAUCCGGCAGAAGUGUUAUAAUGAGGCUACCUUGAAGAUGUACAUAUCAGUCAAAGCCAAGUUGUCAACUGCAAGCAGAUUAUGAAGGUAAAAGAUCAAUAUUGGAGGAUACACUAAAAUGAGACAGUCAACUGGAAUUAUCGAGGUGACUCUUCAGGAAACCCCAAGAAAACUCAAAAUCGCUUCAUCAUCACAGUAAGAUGUGCCAGGAAGGCUGCUGGGAAUGAAUUCUCAUUGUGAACUACAUUCUUCAUCAGAGGAACUGGAUCUUAACAGAUAUCUAACUCGCUUAGAACUAAGUCUACUCCUUUUACCAAGGGAAGUCAAUCAUGUACAGAACCAGCUUGACGGGACUUCAUGUUGAGCCGACAAUUCCACAUUGGCAAAAUUCAUCAGUCCUUGCAUUAUUGCAUGCAAUGCUCGUCGGCAGGACUUCAUUAUAAGUUGAAUCUGUAGGUUAGCAAAUUAAUGGACAUGACAUUUUUUGAAGUCUGAAAAAUAUCUUAGACUGUGUCCCAUUGUGGUGGGUGAGAUGGGCCUGCCUCAAUCAAUCAUUUGUGACCAA
Long non-coding RNA from Musa acuminata AAA Group (dessert banana), 834 nucleotides. RefSeq lists it as uncharacterized. NCBI's taxonomy places the organism in Eukaryota, Viridiplantae, Streptophyta, Magnoliopsida, Zingiberales, Musaceae. The transcript is spliced from 4 exons. The record is from RefSeq and is a predicted model, not a curated record.